This 253-nucleotide ribosomal RNA is filed under the name uncultured bacterium. RNAcentral describes it as "partial 16S ribosomal RNA". It matches the Rfam family "Archaeal small subunit ribosomal RNA", at positions 474 to 727 of the family's 1478-position model. The record is from RNAcentral.
UACCAGCACCCCGAGUGGUCGGGACGUUUAUUGGGCCUAAAGCAUCCGUAGCCGGUUCUACAAGUCUUCCGUUAAAUCCACCUGCUUAACAGAUGGGCUGCGGAAGAUACUAUAGAGCUAGGAGGCGGGAGAGGCAAGCGGUACUCGAUGGGUAGGGGUAAAAUCCUCUGAUCCAUUGAAGACCACCAGUGGCGAAGGCGGCUUGCCAGAACGCGCUCGACGGUGAGGGAUGAAAGCUGGGGGAGCAAACCGG